UAGGGUAAAGUAUAAGUGGAGAUACGAGGAGUUUUGGAUUCCUAGAUGGGGGUUCGAGUCCUCUUUCUCUAA
This 72-nucleotide transfer RNA is filed under the name Calotes versicolor. RNAcentral describes it as "tRNA-Gln". It matches the Rfam family "tRNA". From Rfam's summary of the family: Transfer RNA (tRNA) molecules are approximately 80 nucleotides in length. The record is from RNAcentral. Lineage: Eukaryota; Metazoa; Chordata; Lepidosauria; Squamata; Agamidae.